RNAcentral lists this small nucleolar RNA (164 nucleotides) under Nicotiana sylvestris (wood tobacco). RNAcentral's name for it is "Plant small nucleolar RNA U3". It matches the Rfam family "Plant small nucleolar RNA U3". From Rfam's summary of the family: Small nucleolar RNAs (snoRNAs) are involved in the processing and modification of rRNA in the nucleolus. There are two main classes of snoRNAs: the box C/D class, and the box H/ACA class. U3 snoRNA is a member of the box C/D class. The record is from Rfam by way of RNAcentral. RNAcentral also lists the same sequence under 1 other name. Lineage: Eukaryota; Viridiplantae; Streptophyta; Magnoliopsida; Solanales; Solanaceae.
UUUACCUUAUUUGAACAAGAUCUGUUCUAUAGGAUCAUACCAUUUAUUCUUGAGUUUUAAGGAGAUAGGAAAUUAUGUUUGGUUGAUGAACCAUGGCCAGUUGACUAGAGUAUGAUUAACAGCUUCUAUGGCCUCUUCUAUGGUCUUUUGGCUAGUGACAGGCA